UAGGGAAUCUUCCACAAUGGACGCAAGUCUGAUGGAGCAACGCCGCGUGAGUGAAGAAGGUUUUCGGAUCGUAAAGCUCUGUUGUUGGUGAAGAAGGAUAGAGGCAGUAACUGGUCUUUAUUUGACGGUAAUCAACCAGAAAGUCACGGCUAACUACGUGCCAGCAGCCGCGGUAAUACGUAGGUGGCAAGCGUUGUCCGGAUUUAUUGGGCGUAAAGCGAGCGCAGGCGGAAUGAUAAGUCUGAUGUGAAAGCCCACUGCUUAACCGUGGAACUGCAUCGGAAACUGUCAUUCUUGAGUGCAGAAGAGGAGAGUGGAAUUCCAUGUGUAGCGGUGGAAUGCGUAGAUAUAUGGAAGAACACCAGUGGCGAAGGCGGCUCUCUGGUCUGCAACUGACGCUGAGGCUCGAAAGCAUGGGUAGCGAACAGG
RNAcentral lists this ribosomal RNA (429 nucleotides) under bacterium. RNAcentral's name for it is "partial 16S ribosomal RNA". It matches the Rfam family "Bacterial small subunit ribosomal RNA", at positions 355 to 776 of the family's 1533-position model. The record is from RNAcentral.